This 253-nucleotide ribosomal RNA is filed under the name uncultured bacterium. RNAcentral describes it as "partial 16S ribosomal RNA". It matches the Rfam family "Bacterial small subunit ribosomal RNA", at positions 524 to 776 of the family's 1533-position model. The record is from RNAcentral.
UACAGAGGUCCCGAGCGUUGUUCGGAUUCAUUGGGCGUAAAGGGUGCGUAGGCGGCGGGGCAAGUCUGAUGUGAAAUCCCGGGGCUCAACCCCGGAACUGCAUUGGAUACUGCCUUGCUUGAGUACUGGAGAGGGAACUGGAAUUUACGGUGUAGCAGUGAAAUGCGUAGAGAUCGUAAGGAAGGCCGGUGGCGAAGGCGGCUUCCUGGACCGACACUGACGCUGAGGCGCGAAAGCUAGGGGAGCAAACGGG